This 828-nucleotide long non-coding RNA is filed under the name Astyanax mexicanus (Mexican tetra). RNAcentral's name for it is "lncRNA (ENSAMXG00005003116.1)". Lineage: Eukaryota; Metazoa; Chordata; Actinopteri; Characiformes; Acestrorhamphidae. The record is from RNAcentral.
CACACACACACACAUACACAAACUCUCUCUCUCUCUCUCUCUUUCUGUUGCUCCCUCACUCUCUUUUUCUCUUUCUGUCUCUGUCUCUCUCGCACACAUCGAGGCUGCUGCACACGCUACUGCACUCACAUGGCUCUGUAGACUCGGUGGUCUAAGGGGAGAGCUAUGCAGGGAGUGACUAAGAGCAGCCUGUCUACAGCACAGAAUUAAUAUAGAGGGGAGAUAAAGAGAGCAAGAGAGAGAGGCUGACUGACGGAAAGACAUUUCCCUCGUUUCUCACAGGCUGGAAAUGGAUGCUUCGCCAUAAGCGUCGACAAUUUCUCUCGCUCUCUCUCCGUCUCGCUGCGUAGCGGCUGGCUGGCUGGCUGCAGUCUGCUGGAGAGAGAAAGGAGAGCGGCUGCAGCUCGCCCCACUCCCUCACCCUCUCCAUCUCUCCAAGUGCUGGCGGAUAAUAAUACAGACAGGGAGCUCAAACAAAGAAAGAUUGAUAGAACGAGGGAAGAGAGGAGCAAAGGAGUGAAGAGUACUGGAAGAGAAGGAAGGAGAGAAAAGAAAGAGGAAAGAGGAGACACGGUGCCAGGAUUCCAUUUGACUGAAAAGAGGAAAAGAGAAAGAGAGAGAGAGAGAGAAAGACAGAGUGUCGCCAUUUCAAAAAUGACUUAUGAGGAAGAGCUGUGAACACUGCCCAGGAACACUCUGCUGAAAUCCAGCACACAGGAGGAGAGCUUCACACACACCGCCCCACCCUCAAUCACCCGAUCUCAGGUACAGCCUUCUGUUCUGCACUGACACUCUGCUGUAGCUUUAGCAACACUUUACUCAUUACGU